AGAAUCAACGCUGGCGGCGUGCCUAACACAUGCAAGUCGCACGAGAAAGCGGAGCAAUCCGUGAGUAAAGUGGCGCACGGGUGAGUAACACGUGAAUAAUCUACCUCCGAGUGGGGAAUAACUGAGAGAAAUCUUAGCUAAUACCGCAUAACACUUACGAGUCAAAGCAGCAAUGCGCUUGGAGAGGAGUUCGCGGCCGAUUAGUUAGUUGGCGGGGUAAUGGCCCACCAAGACGAUGAUCGGUAUCCGGCCUGAGAGGGCGCACGGACACACUGGAACUGAAACACGGUCCAGACUCCUACGGGAGGCAGCAGUGGGGAAUUUUGCGCAAUGGGGGAAACCCUGACGCAGCAACGCCGCGUGGAGGAUGAAAUAUCUUGGUAUGUAAACUCCUUUCGAUGGGGAAGAUAAUGACGGUACCCAUAGAAGAAGCCCGGCUAACUUCGCGCCAGCAGCCGC
RNAcentral lists this ribosomal RNA (459 nucleotides) under uncultured bacterium. RNAcentral describes it as "SSU rRNA". It matches the Rfam family "Bacterial small subunit ribosomal RNA", at positions 26 to 518 of the family's 1533-position model. The record is from RNAcentral.